GAUGAACGCUGGCGGCGUGCCUAAUACAUGCAAGUCGAGCGAACAGAUGAGGAGCUUGCUCCUCUGACGUUAGCGGCGGACGGGUGAGUAACACGUGGAUAACCUACCUAUAAGACUGGGAUAACUUCGGGAAACCGGAGCUAAUACCGGAUAAUAUAUUGAACCGCAUGGUUCAAUAGUGAAAGACGGUUUUGCUGUCACUUAUAGAUGGAUCCGCGCCGCAUUAGCUAGUUGGUAAGGUAACGGCUUACCAAGGCAACGAUGCGUAGCCGACCUGAGAGGACGAUCGGCCACACUGGGACUGCAACACGGUCCGGACUCCUACGGGAGGCAGCAGUGGGGAAUUUUUGGCAAUGGGGGAAAGCCUGACGGAGUCAGGCCGCGUGAGUGAUGAAGGCCUUCGGAUCGUAAACCUCUUUUGUUAGGGAAGAACAACUGUGUAAGAACAUACGCCCGGCAUGACGGUACCUAAUCAGAAAGCCCCGGCUAACUACGUG
This 497-nucleotide ribosomal RNA is filed under the name uncultured bacterium. RNAcentral's name for it is "partial 16S ribosomal RNA". It matches the Rfam family "Bacterial small subunit ribosomal RNA", at positions 28 to 507 of the family's 1533-position model. The record is from RNAcentral.